AGUGAACGCUGGCGGUAGGCCUAACACAUGCAAGUCGAACGGCAGCACAGUAAGAGCUUGCUCUUACGGGUGGCGAGUGGCGGACGAGUGAGGAAUACAUCGGAAUCUACUUUUUCGUGGGGAUAACGUAGGGAAACUUACGCUAAUACCGCAUACGACCUACGGGUGAAAGCAGGGGAUCUUCGGACCUUGCGCGAUUGAAUGAGCCGAUGUCGGAUUAGCUAGUUGGCGGGGUAAAGGCCCGCCAAGGCGACGAUCCGUAGCUGGUCUGAGAGGAUGAUCAGCCACACUGGAACUGAGACACGGUCCAGACUCCUACGGGAGGCAGCAGUGGGGAAUAUUGGACAAAGGGCGCAAGCCUGAUCCAGCCAUACCGCGUGGGUGAAGAAGGCCUUCGGGUUGUAAAGCCCUUUUGUUGGGAAAGAAAAGCAGCAGGUUAAUACCCCGCUGUUCUGACGGUACCCAAAGAAUAAGCACCGGCUAACUUCGUG
RNAcentral lists this ribosomal RNA (491 nucleotides) under uncultured bacterium. RNAcentral describes it as "partial 16S ribosomal RNA". It matches the Rfam family "Bacterial small subunit ribosomal RNA", at positions 29 to 507 of the family's 1533-position model. The record is from RNAcentral.